GUUUCCGUAGGUGAAYCAGCGGAAGGAUCAUUG
This 33-nucleotide ribosomal RNA is filed under the name Aglaia elliptica. RNAcentral describes it as "partial 18S ribosomal RNA". The record is from RNAcentral. Lineage: Eukaryota; Viridiplantae; Streptophyta; Magnoliopsida; Sapindales; Meliaceae.